RNAcentral lists this ribosomal RNA (253 nucleotides) under uncultured bacterium. RNAcentral describes it as "partial 16S ribosomal RNA". It matches the Rfam family "Bacterial small subunit ribosomal RNA", at positions 524 to 776 of the family's 1533-position model. The record is from RNAcentral.
UACGUAGGGUGCGAGCGUUGUCCGGAAUUACUGGGCGUAAAGAGCUCGUAGGUGGUUUGUCGCGUUGUUCGUGAAAACUCACAGCUCAACUGUGGGCGUGCGGGCGAUACGGGCAGACUGGAGUACUGCAGGGGAGACUGGAAUUCUUGGUGUAGCGGUGGAAUGCGCAGAUAUCAGGAGGAACACCGGUGGCGAAGGCGGGUCUCUGGGCAGUAACUGACGCUGAGGAGCGAAAGCGUGGGGAGCGAACAGG